CCUACGGGAGGCAGCAGUGAGGAAUAUUGGUCAAUGGGCGCGAGCCUGAACCAGCCAAGUCGCGUGAGGGAAGACGGUCCUAUGGAUUGUAAACCUCUUUUGUCGGGGAGCCAAAGACGCCACGCGUGGCGUUCCGAGAGUACCCGAAGAAAAAGCAUCGGCUAACUCCGUGCCAGACGCCGCGGUAAUACGGAGGAUGCGAGCGUUAUCCGGAGUUAUUGGGUUUAAAGGGUGCGCAGGCGGAAGAUCAAGUCAGCGGUAAAAUUGAGAGGCUCAACCUCUUCGAGCCGUUGAAACUGGUUUUCUGGAGUGAGUGAGAAGUAUGCGGAAUGCGUGGGGUAGCGGUGAAAUGCAUAGAUAUCACGCAGAACUCCGAUUGCGAAGGCAGCAUACCGGCGCUCAACUGACGCUCAUGCACGAAAGUGUGGGUAUCGAACAGGAUUAGAUACCCCUGUAGUC
RNAcentral lists this ribosomal RNA (459 nucleotides) under uncultured bacterium. RNAcentral describes it as "partial 16S ribosomal RNA". It matches the Rfam family "Bacterial small subunit ribosomal RNA", at positions 338 to 795 of the family's 1533-position model. The record is from RNAcentral.